GAUGAACGCUGGCGGCGUGCCUAAUACAUGCAAGUCGAGCGAACAGAUAAGGAGCUUGCUCCUUUGACGUUAGCGGCGGACGGGUGAGUAACACGUGGGUAACCUACCUAUAAGACUGGAAUAACUCCGGGAAACCGGGGCUAAUGCCGGAUAACAUUUAGAACCGCAUGGUUCUAAAGUGAAAGAUGGUUUUGCUAUCACUUAUAGAUGGACCCGCGCCGUAUUAGCUAGUUGGUAAGGUAACGGCUUACCAAGGCAACGAUACGUAGCCGACCUGAGAGGGUGAUCGGCCACACUGGAACUGAGACACGGUCCAGACUCCUACGGGAGGUAGCAGUAGGGAAUCUUCCGCAAUGGGCGAAAGCCUGACGGAGCAACGCCGCGUGAGUGAUGAAGGUCUUCGGAUCGUAAAACUCUGUUAUUAGGGAAGAACAAAUGUGUAAGUAACUGUGCACGUCUUGACGGUACCUAAUCAGAAAGCCACGGCUAACUACGUG
Molecule: ribosomal RNA, 497 nt
Filed under: uncultured bacterium
Lineage: Bacteria
Description: partial 16S ribosomal RNA
Rfam family: Bacterial small subunit ribosomal RNA
Source: RNAcentral